ACGCUCGACACCUACGGGAGGCAGCAGUGGGGAAUAUUGCACAAUGGGGGAAACCCUGAUGCAGCAACGCCGCGUGAAGGAAGACGGUUUUCGGAUUGUAAACUUCUGUUCUUAGUGAAGAUAGUGACGGUAGCUAAGGAGCAAGCCACGGCUUAACUACGUGCUAGCAGCCGCGGUAAUCUGAGCGGGCUGGCAAGGC
Molecule: ribosomal RNA, 199 nt
Filed under: uncultured bacterium
Lineage: Bacteria
Description: partial 16S ribosomal RNA
Rfam family: Bacterial small subunit ribosomal RNA
Source: RNAcentral